GACGAACGCUGGCGGCGUGCUUAACACAUGCAAGUCGAACGGAAAGGCCCUGCUUUUGUGGGGUGCUCGAGUGGCGAACGGGUGAGUAACACGUGAGUAACCUGCCCUUGACUUUGGGAUAACUUCAGGAAACUGGGGCUAAUACCGGAUAGGAGCUCCUGCUGCAUGGUGGGGGUUGGAAAGUUUCGGCGGUUGGGGAUGGACUCGCGGCUUAUGAGCUUGUUGGUGGGGUAGUGGCUUACCAAGUCUUUGACGGGUAGCCGGCCUGAGAGGGUGACCGGCCACAAGGGGACUGAGAGACGGCCCAGACUGCAACGGGAGGCAGCAGUGGGGAAUAUUGCACAAUGGGCGGAAGCCUGAUGCAGCAACGCCGCGUGCGGGAUGACGGCCUUCGGGUUGUAAACCGAUUUCGCCUGUGACGAAGCGUGAGUGACGGUAAUGGGUAAAGAAGCACCGGCUAACUACGUG
RNAcentral lists this ribosomal RNA (468 nucleotides) under uncultured bacterium. Its description in RNAcentral is "partial 16S ribosomal RNA". It matches the Rfam family "Bacterial small subunit ribosomal RNA", at positions 28 to 507 of the family's 1533-position model. The record is from RNAcentral.